RNAcentral lists this ribosomal RNA (492 nucleotides) under uncultured bacterium. RNAcentral's name for it is "partial 16S ribosomal RNA". It matches the Rfam family "Bacterial small subunit ribosomal RNA", at positions 29 to 507 of the family's 1533-position model. The record is from RNAcentral.
AGUGAACGCUGGCGGUAGGCCUAACACAUGCAAGUCGAACGGCAGCACAGUAAGAGCUUGCUCUUACGGGUGGCGAGUGGCGGACGGGUGAGGAAUACAUCGGAAUCUACUUUUUCGUGGGGGAUAACGUAGGGAAACUUACGCUAAUACCGAAUACGACCUACGGGUGAAAGCAGGGGAUCUUCGGACCUUGCGCGACUGAAUGAGCCGAUGUCGGAUUAGCUAGUUGGCGGGGUAAAGGCCCACCAAGGCGACGAUCCGUAGCUGGUCUGAGAGGAUGAUCAGCCACACUGGAACUGAGACACGGUCCAGACUCCUACGGGAGGCAGCAGUGGGGAAUAUUGGACAAUGGGCGCAAGCCUGAUCCAGCCAUACCGCGUGAGUGAAGAAGGCCUUCGGGUUGUAAAGCCCUUUUGUUGGGAAAGAAAAGCAGCAGGUUAAUACCCCGCUGUUCUGACGGUACCCAAAGAAUAAGCACCGGCUAACUUCGUG